This is a small nuclear RNA of Sciurus vulgaris (Eurasian red squirrel), 102 nucleotides long. NCBI's taxonomy places the organism in Eukaryota, Metazoa, Chordata, Mammalia, Rodentia, Sciuridae. The record is from Ensembl.
UUUCUCUCUGGUAAAUGUACUAAAACCCAAAUGAUACUGAGAAGAUGAACACAGCCUCUGCACUGGGAUAAAACACAAAUGCAUGAAGUAUUGCACAGUUUU